UCCCUGGUGGUCUAGUGGUUAGGAUUCAGCACUUUCACUGCUGAGGCCUGGGUUCAAUUCCCAGUCAGGGAA
Transfer RNA from Pelodiscus sinensis (Chinese soft-shelled turtle), 72 nucleotides. It matches the Rfam family "tRNA". From Rfam's summary of the family: Transfer RNA (tRNA) molecules are approximately 80 nucleotides in length. Their secondary structure includes four short double-helical elements and three loops (D, anti-codon, and T loops). NCBI's taxonomy places the organism in Eukaryota, Metazoa, Chordata, Testudines, Trionychidae. The record is from Rfam.